GGGGGGUACUCCUCUGUGCUCCUCUGAGCAAAGCCUCGCUGGAGCGCUUGCCUGCUUGUCUACAUGAGGGAGUGCACUGAGGAAGUGAGUGAAUGAAUGCAUGAAUGAAUGAAUGAAUGAAGGGCUCCAGAAAGAAGAUGGGUCCUCACACCAGUGCCCCAUAGGUUUGAGUUUCAGAUUAGACUGGUGGUAUCUGGUCUCCUGGGAUUUGGGAAGCCCCAUCCUCCGGAAUCAGUGCUGCCUCAUGACUCGGUUUUGACCAAGAGCUUGCAGCAGAAGCAAUGCUGCGGGACUUCUGAUGCAAGCCGAGGGAGCCUUGCAGUUGUGGACUGGGUCUCUGAGAAACCCCCGCUCUAAGGAAAACCAUGUAAGAAGUCUGGCUACCCUGAGACCAUCAUGCUCUGAGGACUCCGAAGCCAGUCACGUGGAAAGUGUCUCCUUGCCAGGCUCCAGUUAUUUCAGCCGUCCCAGUUGAAGCACCAAGCAUGUUUCCAACACCCAGGACUCCUGAAUGUUGCUGGAACCACAUACUCGGCCGGGGGACACUGUGAGGAACGCAGGACACCAAAGGCAUCGCUCCUCCCUGGUCUCUCGUGGAAACAGUCCGCGGAGGCAGUCACUCAUUCUGGGGAUAAUGCAGUCUUUGUCUCCAUCUCCCCAAGUGGGAGACAAGUCCAAGCACGCCUGUGACCCACAGCCAGCCCUGUGCUUCUUCUUGUGUGCUUGGUACUGGUUUCUGCAGCUUUCAUCAGCAACACAAACCGCCCCCUUCCCGCUCACCUCCCAGGGCCCUGGGCAGGCUCCGGGUGGAGGGGGCCGGGCACGCAGGGGCUGGGUGAUGGGAAACACGUGGCCUGGGGGGCAGCCGAGCGCCCCACUCUGCUCAGGCAGGCCCUCUCUUCUGGGUGGCCGGAGCCCAGAGACCCCGGCGGCAGGAGCCUGACAGGCUUCCCUCUAGGUGAGGCCCCACUGCCCAUUGCCCUCGCUGCAGGUACUGCAAACUCUGCCUGUCUGUGUACAGGGGUGAGGGCUGAGGGGGCCCCGGGGGAGGCAGCUGAGCUGGAAGAGCCGGGUGGGGCAGCUCAGGGGCUGGGAACAUCUGCAGUGGGGGACAGGAGGCUGAGUAGUGACAGAGCUACAGGCCUGAGAACUGGAAAGCUGAGCAGAAAUGAUUAAGCAUUAAGUGAUGUAGGAAAAACAAACAAAACCCACCCAUGCUCAAAACAGUUAAGGCACAGGGGCUCGGAACCAGUUUGUCUUUCUUUUUGAACAGCUGGAGACACCUGACACAUGUCCUGUUCCCUAUUCUCUGUGCCACAGGGCUGAGGAGAGACCAACCUCUGCAGGAGACCGAUCAGAACACUGAACUCAGUCUGCCACUUACAGGCCGUGCGGCCUUGGGCAGUUUGGUGGGGGUCUCUGAGCCUCAGUUUGCUUGUUUGCAAAACGGAGACAACAGGCAUACUUACCCCCCAGCAUGGUUGUAGGAGUAAGUCAUGGCAUGGCUUAUCAUAGGCCUGGCACAUAGUAGACAUCGAAUCAAUAGUCACAAUUAUUAUCCCUGAUUAAACAUCAUUCACCCACACCCUAAGAAACCUACCCUAAGAAACCAACUUCCCAUUUACAGGCCAAGCCCUCUUUCUGAAUAACCUCACCUUGCCCAUAGCCUCUGUCUGUGUGUGUAGAAGAGACCAGAAGAAACAAGGAAAAAAUGUCCUUUCAGCAGUGACCACAUUUCCCCUAUUCUAUAAUAUGUAUUGUUGUGCAUGCAUAUAUGUAUAUGUAUGUACAUACACAUGUACGCACUCACAGCCCCUGGGGCAGCUUCCUCCUUUUAAAAGUGAGGAUGCAGGAACUUUGAAUAGGAAGUGAGAUACGGUAGGUUAGAUAGGGUGGAGUGAAAUAGUGACACAUCCCAGAGUAAUUUGGGCAGAUAAUAAAAAAUAUAUUUACAGCCUCCCCCUCCCC
Choloepus didactylus (southern two-toed sloth) is the source of this 1968-nucleotide long non-coding RNA. RefSeq lists it as uncharacterized. The transcript has 3 exons. The record is from RefSeq and is a predicted model, not a curated record. NCBI's taxonomy places the organism in Eukaryota, Metazoa, Chordata, Mammalia, Pilosa, Megalonychidae.